GCCCAAUCGAGGAAAUACUCCCUCCUGAUCCUGUCUUUAGAUGCAGAGAAAGCAUUCGACAGGGUCAGGUGGGACUUCCUCGAUGCGGUCCUACAAAUCUUUGGCUUUUUUGGGAAUAUAAGAAAAGCAAUACUGGCCUUAUAUUCAACUCCUUCUGCAAGAGUUGUGGGAGCGGGAUUCAGCUCAGAUUUUUUCUCGUUGAAAAACGGGACGAGACAGGGCUGCCCGCUCUCACCUCUUCUCUACUUAUUGACAAUAGAAGUUCUAG
Molecule: non-coding RNA, 268 nt
Organism: Pelobates cultripes (western spadefoot toad)
Lineage: Eukaryota; Metazoa; Chordata; Amphibia; Anura; Pelobatidae
Source: the annotation of a GenBank genome assembly